This 389-nucleotide ribosomal RNA is filed under the name uncultured bacterium. RNAcentral describes it as "bacterial SSU rRNA". It matches the Rfam family "Bacterial small subunit ribosomal RNA", at positions 28 to 418 of the family's 1533-position model. The record is from RNAcentral.
GACGAACGCUGGCGGCGUGCUUAACACAUGCAAGUCGAGCGGUAAGGCCCUUCGGGGUACACGAGCGGCGAACGGGUGAGUAACACGUGGGUGACCUGCCUCUAGCUCUGGGAUAAGCCUGGGAAACUGGGGUCUAAUACCGGAUAUGACUCCACGGCGCAUGUUGUGGGGUGGAAAGCCUUGUGUGGCUAGAGAUGGGCCCGCGGCCUAUCAGCUUGUUGGUGGGGUGAUGGCCUACCAAGGCGACGACGGGUAGCCGGCCUGAGAGGGCGACCGGCCACACUGGGACUGAGACACGGCCCAGACUCCUACGGGAGGCAGCAGUGGGGAAUCUUGCGCAAUGGGCGAAAAGCCUGACGCAGCGACGCCGCGUGAGGGAUGAACGGCCU